GACGAACGCUGGCGGCGUGCUUAACACAUGCAAGUCGAACGGAAAGGCCCUGCCUUGGUGGGGUGCUCGAGUGGCGAACGGGUGAGUAACACGUGAGUAACCUGCCCUUGACUUUGGGAUAACUUCAGGAAACUGGGGCUAAUACCGGAUAGGAGCUCCUGCUGCAGGGUGGGGGUUGGAAAGUUUCGGCGGUUGGGGAUGGACUCGCGGCUUAUCAGCUUGUUGGUGGGGUAGUGGCUUACCAAGGCUUUGACGGGUAGCCGGGCUGAGAGGGUGAGCGGCCCCGUUGGGCCUGAGAUACGGCACAGCCUCCUCUGGGACGCAGCGGUGGGGUAUGUUGCACUAUGGGAGGAAGCCUGAUGCGGCAACGCCGCGUGCGGGGUGACGUCCUUCGGGUUGUAAACCGCUUUCGCCUGUCCCGAAGCGUGAGUGACGGUAAUGGGUAAAGAAGCACCGGCUAACUCCGUG
This 468-nucleotide ribosomal RNA is filed under the name uncultured bacterium. RNAcentral's name for it is "partial 16S ribosomal RNA". It matches the Rfam family "Bacterial small subunit ribosomal RNA", at positions 28 to 507 of the family's 1533-position model. The record is from RNAcentral.